GAUUAACGCUGGCGGCGUGCAUAACACAUUCAAGUCGAACGGACUUUAGCCUUCGGGCUAAAGUUAGUGGCGGACGGGUGAGUAACGCGUGAGCAACCUACCUUCUGAUGGGGGAUAACGUCUGGAAACGGACGCUAAUACCGCAUAAACCGAUGUUAUCGCAUGGUGAUAUCGGCAAAGAGAUAUCGUCAGGAGAUGGGCUCGCGUUGGAUUAGAUAGUUGGCGGGGUAAACGGCCCACCAAGUCAACGAUCCAUAGCCGGACUGAGAGGUCGGACGGCCACAUUGGAACUGAGAUACGGUCCAGACUCCUACGGGAGGCAGCAGUGGGGAAUAUUGGGCAAUGGGCGAAAGCCUGACCCAGCGACGCCGCGUGAAGGAAGAAGGUCUUCGGAUUGUAAACUUCAGUAGGCAGGGACGAAGAAAGCGACGGUACCUGCAGAGUAAGCCACGGCUAACUACGUG
RNAcentral lists this ribosomal RNA (464 nucleotides) under uncultured bacterium. RNAcentral's name for it is "bacterial SSU rRNA". It matches the Rfam family "Bacterial small subunit ribosomal RNA", at positions 28 to 507 of the family's 1533-position model. The record is from RNAcentral.